UCAUCUCCAUCGUCAUCAGUGUCGGCCUUACCCUUAUCUUCCUUACAUGCUUUCCUUUCCACUAUUUUUUUCUCUUUUUUCUUUUUUUUCCGCUUAAAACCCUUCCAGAGGUCCUUUUUCUUGAAGAUCUGUGGAAAGGACAGCACUUGAGGGAGAUCGGGGUUUCUUAGGUUCCGGUUAAAGAUUUUUUCUCCUAAUCCUCAUCGACAUUGGAUCCUCCUCCAAAUCUCCUGUAGGUGCUUUCUUUUCCUUAGAUCUCCUUUUUUUUUUUUCUUUUUUUCUUUUGCUUCGAACCCUUCCGAAGGUCUUUUUUUCGAAGAUC
Molecule: long non-coding RNA, 322 nt
Filed under: Elaeis guineensis (African oil palm)
Lineage: Eukaryota; Viridiplantae; Streptophyta; Magnoliopsida; Arecales; Arecaceae
Description: long non-coding RNA (EGUI_LNC006538)
Source: RNAcentral